UGCCCAGUAACUCCUAUCCCUACCACCUCGUGGUACUGGCGGGGGUACGAGUAACCUUAGGGAAGAUCGGGUAACCAACCCUGGGAUCCUUAGUCGUAUGCUGACAGCGAAGG
Aedes aegypti (yellow fever mosquito) is the source of this 113-nucleotide non-coding RNA. The record is from Rfam. NCBI's taxonomy places the organism in Eukaryota, Metazoa, Arthropoda, Insecta, Diptera, Culicidae.